This 912-nucleotide ribosomal RNA is filed under the name Kocuria palustris. Its description in RNAcentral is "bacterial SSU rRNA". It matches the Rfam family "Bacterial small subunit ribosomal RNA", at positions 56 to 976 of the family's 1533-position model. The record is from RNAcentral. Lineage: Bacteria; Bacillati; Actinomycetota; Actinomycetes; Micrococcales; Micrococcaceae.
UGCAGUCGAACGCUGAAGCACCAGCUUGCUGGUGUGGAUGAGUGGCGAACGGGUGAGUAAUACGUGAGUAACCUGCCCUUGACUCUGGGAUAAGCCCGGGAAACUGGGUCUAAUACUGGAUGCUACAUGUCACCGCAUGGUGGUGUGUGGAAAGGGUUUACUGGUCUUGGAUGGGCUCACGGCCUAUCAGCUUGUUGGUGAGGUAAUGGCUCACCAAGGCGACGACGGGUAGCCGGCCUGAGAGGGUGACCGGCCACACUGGGACUGAGACACGGCCCAGACUCCUACGGGAGGCAGCAGUGGGGAAUAUUGCACAAUGGGCGAAAGCCUGAUGCAGCGACGCCGCGUGAGGGAUGACGGCCUUCGGGUUGUAAACCUCUUUCAGCAGGGAAGAAGCCACAAGUGACGGUACCUGCAGAAGAAGCGCCGGCUAACUACGUGCCAGCAGCCGCGGUAAUACGUAGGGCGCAAGCGUUGUCCGGAAUUAUUGGGCGUAAAGAGCUCGUAGGCGGUUUGUCGCGUCUGCUGUGAAAGCCCGGGGCUUAACCCCGGGUGUGCAGUGGGUACGGGCAGACUAGAGUGCAGUAGGGGAGACUGGAAUUCCUGGUGUAGCGGUGGAAUGCGCAGAUAUCAGGAGGAACACCGAUGGCGAAGGCAGGUCUCUGGGCUGUUACUGACGCUGAGGAGCGAAAGCAUGGGGAGCGAACAGGAUUAGAUACCCUGGUAGUCCAUGCCGUAAACGUUGGGCACUAGGUGUGGGGGACAUUCCACGUUUUCCGCGCCGUAGCUAACGCAUUAAGUGCCCCGCCUGGGGAGUACGGCCGCAAGGCUAAAACUCAAAGGAAUUGACGGGGGCCCGCACAAGCGGCGGAGCAUGCGGAUUAAUUCGAUGCAACGCGAAGAACCUUACCA